UGAUUUGUGGUUUGUUUUUAGGGAUUUUUUAACCUGGCCCUGCUAAUCGAGGAAGGUACUAUAAUCCCACACCAUAUCUUGGAUUUCUUGGAAAUUGACUCAACUCUCCAUUCUAAUAACAUCUCCAUUCUCCAGGAACUGUACGAAAGGUGCUGGAGCCACAGUAAUGAGGAGUCCUUCAGCCCCUGCUCCUUGGCCUGGCUUUACCUGCACUUGCGGCUUCUCUGGGGUGCUGUCCUGCACUCAGCCCUGAUCUACUUUCUGGGAACCUUUCUGCUGUCCAUAUUGAUCGCCUGGACUGUGCAGUAUUUCCAGUCUGUCUCAGGUAAAGAUUUGUAAAAAGCGAAAGCAAUAUAU
Piliocolobus tephrosceles (Ugandan red Colobus) is the source of this 357-nucleotide long non-coding RNA. RefSeq lists it as uncharacterized. NCBI's taxonomy places the organism in Eukaryota, Metazoa, Chordata, Mammalia, Primates, Cercopithecidae. The record is from RefSeq and is a predicted model, not a curated record. The transcript has 3 exons.